UCGGAUGUGGUGCACGGUGCACAUCAGCUAGCACUAUCUUGUUUGGAUACUGAUGCUGUAAGCUGGAGCCCGGGGUUCGACUCCCUGCAUCCGAA
Molecule: non-coding RNA, 95 nt
Organism: Mycena rebaudengoi
Lineage: Eukaryota; Fungi; Basidiomycota; Agaricomycetes; Agaricales; Mycenaceae
Source: the annotation of a GenBank genome assembly